GAUGAACGCUGGCGGCGUGCCUAAUACAUGCAAGUCGAGCGAACAGACGAGGAGCUUGCUCCUCUGACGUUAGCGGCGGACGGGUGAGUAACACGUGGAUAACCUACCUAUAAGACUGGGAUAACUUCGGGAAACCGGAGCUAAUACCGGAUAAUAUAUUGAACCGCAUGGUUCAAUAGUGAAAGACGGUUUUGCUGUCACUUAUAGAUGGAUCCGCGCCGCAUUAGCUAGUUGGUAAGGUAACGGCUUACCAAGGCAACGAUGCGUAGCCGACCUGAGAGGGUGAUCGGCCACACUGGAACUGAGACACGGUCCAGACUCCUACGGGAGGCAGCAGUAGGGAAUCUUCCGCAAUGGGCGAAAGCUUGACGGAGCAACGCCGCGUGAGUGAUGAAGGUCUUCGGAUCGUAAAACUCUGUUAUUAGGGAAGAACAAAUGUGUAAGUACCUAUGCACGUCUUGACGGUACCUAAUCAGAAAGCCACGGCUAACUACGUG
This 497-nucleotide ribosomal RNA is filed under the name uncultured bacterium. RNAcentral describes it as "partial 16S ribosomal RNA". It matches the Rfam family "Bacterial small subunit ribosomal RNA", at positions 28 to 507 of the family's 1533-position model. The record is from RNAcentral.